This 440-nucleotide ribosomal RNA is filed under the name uncultured bacterium. RNAcentral's name for it is "partial 16S ribosomal RNA". It matches the Rfam family "Bacterial small subunit ribosomal RNA", at positions 338 to 795 of the family's 1533-position model. The record is from RNAcentral.
CCUACGGGAGGCAGCAGUGGGGAAUAUUGCACAAUGGGGGGAACCCUGAUGCAGCGACGCCGCGUGAGUGAAGAAGGAUUUCGGUAUGUAAAGCUCUGUCAGCAGGGAAGAAGAAAGACGGUACCUGACCAAGAAGCGUCGCCUAACUACGUGCCAGCAGCCGCGGUAAUACGUAGGGGGCAAGCGUUAUCCGGAUUUACUGGGUGUAACGGGAGCGUAGACGGCAGGGCAAGUCUGGAGUGAAAGGCAGGGGCCCAACCCCGGGACUGCUCUGGAAACUGUCCGGCUGGAGUGGAGGAGAGGUAAGUGGAAUUCCUGGGGUAGCGGUGAAAGGCGUAGAUAUGAGGAGGAACACCAGUGGCGAAGGCGGCUUACUGGACUGUAACUGACGUUGAGGCUCGAAAGCGUGGGGAGCAAACAGGAUUAGAUACCCAGUAGUC